Molecule: ribosomal RNA, 473 nt
Filed under: Phomopsis sp. 15A
Lineage: Eukaryota; Fungi; Ascomycota; Sordariomycetes; Diaporthales; Diaporthaceae
Description: eukaryotic LSU rRNA
Rfam family: 5.8S ribosomal RNA (bases 103-256)
Source: RNAcentral
CGGCCUCACUGAGGCCCCUCGGAAACGAGGAGCAGCCCGCCGGCGGCCAACCAAACUCUUGUUUCUUAGUGAAUCUCUGAGUAAAAAACAUAAAUGAAUCAAAACUUUCAACAACGGAUCUCUUGGUUCUGGCAUCGAUGAAGAACGCAGCGAAAUGCGAUAAGUAAUGUGAAUUGCAGAAUUCAGUGAAUCAUCGAAUCUUUGAACGCACAUUGCGCCCUCUGGUAUUCCGGAGGGCAUGCCUGUUCGAGCGUCAUUUCAACCCUCAAGCAUUGCUUGGUGUUGGGGCACCGCCUGUAAAGGGCGGGCCCUGAAAUCUAGUGGCGAGCUCGCCAGGACCCCGAGCGUAGUAAUUAUAUUUCGUUCUGGAAGGCCCUGGCGGUGCCCUGCCGUUAAACCCCCAACUUCUGAAAAUUUGACCUCGGAUCAGGUAGGAAUACCCGCUGAACUUAAGCAUAUCAAUAAGCCGGAGG